RNAcentral lists this ribosomal RNA (447 nucleotides) under uncultured bacterium. Its description in RNAcentral is "bacterial SSU rRNA". It matches the Rfam family "Bacterial small subunit ribosomal RNA", at positions 355 to 825 of the family's 1533-position model. The record is from RNAcentral.
UCGGGAAUUUUGGGCAAUGGGCGAAAGCCUGACCCAGCAACGCCGCGUGAAGGAUGAAGUAUUUCGGUAUGUAAACUUCGUAAGAAUAGGAAGAAUAAAUGACGGUACUAUUUGUAAGGUCCGGCUAACUACGUGCCAGCAGCCGCGGUAAUACGGAGGGGGCUAGCGUUGUUCGGAAUCAUUGGGCGUAAAGGGCGCGUAGGCGGCCGAUCAAGUCGGAGGUGAAAUCCCUCGGCUCAACUGAGGAAUGGCCUUCGAUACUGUUCGGCUUGAGUCCUGGAGGGGGUAGCGGAAUUCCCGGUGUAGCGGUGAAAUGCGUAGAGACCGGGAAGAACACCAGUGGCGAAGGCGGCUCACUGGCCCGAUACUGACGCUGAGGUGCGAAAGCGUGGGGAGCAAACAGGAUUAGAUACCCAAGUAGUCCCUGAGCGGGCUGGCAAGGCGCAU